This is a long non-coding RNA of Zalophus californianus (California sea lion), 275 nucleotides long. RefSeq lists it as uncharacterized. NCBI's taxonomy places the organism in Eukaryota, Metazoa, Chordata, Mammalia, Carnivora, Otariidae. The record is from RefSeq and is a predicted model, not a curated record. The transcript is spliced from 3 exons.
GGAAAGGGAAGACUCUACAGAUGGUGCACCUGUGGACUUGAUCUCCCCCAGGGCAGGAUCGAGAGAGAUGAGGAAAAUGAAAGUCGUGAUACAUUUUAAAACCACUGCAAAUGUCAGAUUUGUAUAAUUGUUGCUAAUGAGAACCUCCUUUGCCAACCAUUCACAGGCUGCCGACAACCAAGGGCACCGGCAAGGGAUCCCUGAGUGGGGAGAAGGUGUAAGCAAAGACUACCAGAAGAUUCCAGAGUGGAAACAGGCAGAGAGAUGGAGCCAAG